This 429-nucleotide ribosomal RNA is filed under the name Gemmatimonadota bacterium. Its description in RNAcentral is "Gemmatimonadetes bacterium partial 16S ribosomal RNA". It matches the Rfam family "Bacterial small subunit ribosomal RNA", at positions 355 to 776 of the family's 1533-position model. Lineage: Bacteria; Pseudomonadati; Gemmatimonadota. The record is from RNAcentral.
UAGGGAAUCUUCGGCAAUGGACGAAAGUCUGACCGAGCAAUGCCGCGUGAGUGAAGAAGGUUUUCGGAUCGUAAAACUCUGUUGUUAGAGAAGAACAAGGACGUUAGUAACUGAACGUCCCCUGACGGUAUCUAACCAGAAAGCAACGGCUAACUACGUGCCAGCAGCCGCGGUAAUACGUAGGUGGCAAGCGUUGUCCGGAUUUAUUGGGCGUAAAGCGAGCGCAGGCGGUUUCUUAAGUCUGAUGUGAAAGCCCCCGGCUCAACCGGGGAGGGUCAUUGGAAACUGGGAGACUUGAGUGCAGAAGAGGAGAGUGGAAUUCCAUGUGUAGCGGUGAAAUGCGUAGAUAUAUGGAGGAACACCAGUGGCGAAGGCGGCUCUCUGGUCUGUAACUGACGCUGAGGCUCGAAAGCGUGGGGAGCAAACAGG